Molecule: long non-coding RNA, 924 nt
Filed under: Zonotrichia albicollis (white-throated sparrow)
Lineage: Eukaryota; Metazoa; Chordata; Aves; Passeriformes; Passerellidae
Description: lncRNA (ENSZALG00000009365.1)
Source: RNAcentral
CCGGCCCUGCCAGGAGCUGGGGGGAGCAGAGCUCAGCCCCCCAUCCAUAAAGCCCCCCGGAUAUCUCAGCCCUGACCCCCCCAGAGAGCAGCCAGAGCACCCCGGGUUCUUUCAGGGUGGGGGUCCCCCAAAGGAGGGAGCAGUUGGGGGGAUACCCACAGGUCUGGGGUGCUGGGGAGGGGGGAAUGUGUUCCCCUGGAGGAGUGGAAGCCCCUGGCUGCCAUUAUCCCCUCCUGCCCCAUCCUCCACGUCUGAGUCCUCGGGAAGGGCCCGGAGCCGCCUGUGCUCCCCAUCCCUGUCGCCAUAGCAACAGCAGGCCGUGCUCAUCCCGCAUCCCGCAUCCAUUAUCCUGCAUCCCGCAUCCAUCCAUCCCCCACCUCCCUCCUGGGGCGUCCUGCCUUCCACAUCCCCAAUCCUUCACCUUGCAUCCCUCAUCCUUCACCCUGCAUUCCGCAUUCUCACAUCCCUGAUUCUGCAUCCCUCACCCUGCAUCCCAUAUUCUGUAUCCUGCACUCAUCCUCCCACAGCCCUCACCUUCCAUAUUCCUGCAUCCUUUGCCCUGCAUUCCCAGUUCCCAAAUCCCUCACCCUGCAUCCCCCAUAUUCUGUAUCCUGCACCCCUCAUCCCUCACCCUGCAUCUCUGAUCCUGCAUUCCCCUUGCCCACAUCCCUCAUCCUGCAUUUCCCCAUCUCUGCAUCCCUCACGCUGCAUUCCCCAUUCCCACAUCCCUGCUCCUGCAUCCUUCAUCCUGCAUUUCCCCAUUUCUGCAUCCCUCAUCCUGCAUUUCACAUUCCUGCAUCCUUCACCUUGUAUCCCUCAUCCCACACCCCUCACCCUGCAUUCCCCAUUCCCACAUCCCUGAUUCUGCAUCCCUCAUCCUUCAUCCCUCAUCCUACAUUUCACAUUUCUGCAUUCCUCACCCUU